UGAAAGUGUACUUGGCGCAGGGAGGAUAUUUUCGGAUGCCAUCUUUAAUGUAUUCAUUAUUUACUAUACUAGAUGGAUGAGCAUAACGCGUUACUUUGGAAUCGUGUUUCGUAAGUUAAUAUGGUCUCAAAAUAUUCGAGAAAAUUCUUGUGAACUGUCUAGUGCAGUUUCCAAUCUCUAAAAACAGAAAAAUCAGAAAAAAAUUAAGGGCAAUCCCAUGAAAGGACUUGCCAGAGUUUUGAUGAGGAAAUUUUUGGCGAUCUGUGAUUCCUAAAAAAGUUUUUUUUCCGUGACUCCUCUCCCUGUUUGAGACUAAGAGUGGCGUACAUCAUACCUGAUUCUAAAAAUAGUACAGCGGUCUCCGAUGCGUCAGCAUUUGAAAAAAUCAUUCAGAACGUAGGUUCUCGAUCUGAAAAGUUGUAAACGUCAGCCAAGUCUCACUGUACAAUGUGGCCCCGUACCUGCCUUUUCCUCUUAGUUGCGUUCCGUUCGUUACCCUACAGCGAAACGGAUGCGGGGUUGCCAGAUCAAACAGGGAUUCCGAGCAGAGGAUACUCAUUAAGAGGAACAGAUCAGGGAAACGAAGUCGACUCGCACGAAGCUGAGAGGGUGUGCGACAGUUCGAGUUCCUCGCAUGUAAAGAGCUGCCACGCUUACUGCAACUCUUUGUGGGGUAGGGUCUCUCUGUUCAACUGGCCAUGGUCCCGGGGAAUGUGCUACAAGAGCGAGUGCAUUUGCAAAUUCAACCAUGUGGAUCUGUAUCCAUACGCAGAUCCAUGCACUUACAGGUCUGUUUGGGGAUCGCUCAGAAGCAACAAGAAGAUAGCCCGUCGAGCAGUUGAGGUAUAAAUCAAUCGGACUCUUAAAUAUAUGGACGAGAUAAAGAAGGUGAAAUUGAACAGCACCAUAACUGUUUUUAAGUGGAAAAUUAGAUUGCCUAAUUAAAGUUGGCAAACAUUGAUGUGACUUAGUUCAUUUUUCUUUAACGCAGUCC
Molecule: long non-coding RNA, 994 nt
Filed under: Bemisia tabaci
Lineage: Eukaryota; Metazoa; Arthropoda; Insecta; Hemiptera; Aleyrodidae
Description: lncRNA ENSSSA3NGG014850
Source: RNAcentral